UGAAACGCAAAGAACGGGAACAGUAGGAAGCCAGCGCGUUCAGAGAGCUGCGGGUCGGUGCGACGCAGCACGUUAGCGGAUUCCGAAGCUCGCCUGGGAGCGGUCAUGCGGAACACGCCGAGCCCCAACACUGGAGCGGCAGGCGUCGGUACGGAUGAACGGGUCGCCUCCGUAACCAGGCCAGAGUGGGUGUUAACGCAGCGUGCGGAAGCUUCGGCUUCGGCGGACGCCAAUCGUUGCACCAACAAGAGUGGUACCGCGCGGGCACAGCCUGUCGUCUCUUUC
RNAcentral lists this non-coding RNA (285 nucleotides) under Paenibacillus sp. RNAcentral's name for it is "T-box sequence". It matches the Rfam family "T-box leader". From Rfam's summary of the family: Uncharged tRNA acts as the effector for transcription antitermination of genes in the T-box leader family. Lineage: Bacteria; Bacillati; Bacillota; Bacilli; Caryophanales; Paenibacillaceae. The record is from RNAcentral.